Megalobrama amblycephala (Wuchang bream) is the source of this 1460-nucleotide long non-coding RNA. RefSeq lists it as uncharacterized. The record is from RefSeq and is a predicted model, not a curated record. The transcript is spliced from 2 exons. Lineage: Eukaryota; Metazoa; Chordata; Actinopteri; Cypriniformes; Xenocyprididae.
UUUACUGAGAGGACUCUUAAAUGCUAUGCUAACUCUUGAACCUGAGCUGGAGGAUUUAUUUUGGCCUAAAUGUACUUGCGAAGCACCUUACAGCCAAAUCCAGAAGAAACAGAUUUACUGCUUGGAGUGACGUAUAUAUUUAGGGGUGGGUUGAAAAGUGAAGAGGUGAUAAAUGUUGCUCAACAUGGUGCCAAGAACCAGUGAAUCAAAGACACAGAACCAACAAUCAGACGCGGCUGUGGUCGGCCAGAGUAAGACCUAUGGAGACAUGAGGUGGAGCAGCACCCUCACUUUCAUCAAGGGAUCGUUUUCCAGCCCUCGCGUCGCUACCCGGGGUUUGUGUUACGUGCCUCAUAAAAGUAGCUCUUGUUUCACCAUCACCCCGCUUUGUCUGGGUACCCAGCUAAUCUGUCAAGCUGAGCUCGCAGGCAAAUUCUUCGGCAGCGAAACAGAAACUGUUAUAAACUCUCUGGACGGGGUUUUUGGGCUGCUUUGUUUUGACAUCAGAUGGCCGAAAUGACCUGUCGGCGUUGACCGUCGGGCUCUUCGAGGACUCCUUUGACCUUCGGUGUUGAUCUCUGGUCAUUGUCUGUCUCUCUCCUCUCGUCUUUCUUUCCUUCUCUAUAACCAAAUCUGCACCUUUGUAGUGCAUUGUGGAUCCACAACUUGUCUUUCGUUUUUGUUUUUGCCAAAUUUUUUGACAGGUUGGUGCGACCCAGUGAGAGAAAGGUCACAGAAAACUACGCCGAGGAACGGAAGGACUUCAUAACAUGCUCUGAACGGCUACAUUCUCUCACUGAGACGACUUGAAUGGAAACCUGUGUACUGUCCUUCAAACUCUAGCGGUGACAGUCUUUUGAUCCUGCGGCACUUUGAACUCAUUGUCAGCUGCGCCGCUUUCCCUCGCUGAGACUCUGUCUUGUACGCAAAUAUACUGGCACAUGAACGUAAAGUAGUUAGGAUUGUGUUGCUGUAGAGUCUGAGUGGCGUAGUUUGGAUUUGUUGAAGGGUUUGACUCAGUAUUACAUAGACGAUGAUCAUUACAUGUCUCUCCUCUCACACUAUGUUUUCACAAUCUCUGACAAACUACCAGCAGUAGUUUGAGAGCAAACACGCAGCAGAGUCUUGAGUUGUGUGAUACUUUCUUAUGUGCAGAACAAUUAAAUAUAAAAUGCAAAAACUUGUAAAACAAGAUGAGACUAGCAAUUAGUGGAAUGGCAAUGUUGUAUUGAAUGUACACUAUUGUUUAAAAGUUUGGGUUCGGGCAUGUUUCUUAAUGUUUUUCCUUCAGAAAAAAAAAAAAAAAACUUGCACUCAUUUGCAUAUCCAAGUAACUUGUCCAAUCAAAUGCCCUCUAGCAGAAUGAGAAUGCCCCUCCCCUCUAUGACUGCCUGCCUCUGAUGAGAAAAUAUUAAAUCAUGUUCAUGACUGUGAUAUAAACUAAAGUAUAUUGGCUACAA